CCUCCUCAAACAUUCGUCACAAUGACAUUUAAACAUUGGACGGAGGUCUGAUAAGGGA
This 58-nucleotide microRNA precursor is filed under the name Magallana gigas (Pacific oyster). Its description in RNAcentral is "Mgi-Mir-184-P8d_pre stem-loop". The record is from RNAcentral. Lineage: Eukaryota; Metazoa; Mollusca; Bivalvia; Ostreida; Ostreidae.